Molecule: long non-coding RNA, 943 nt
Organism: Arabidopsis lyrata subsp. lyrata
Lineage: Eukaryota; Viridiplantae; Streptophyta; Magnoliopsida; Brassicales; Brassicaceae
Exons: 2
Source: RefSeq, a predicted model, not a curated record
AUUUUUUAGCUCCGUUCAGAGGUACAAAUUAAAGUAUCAUCUACAAGACUUUAGAGGUCAAGGUUGUGAUCCUAGUAAUCAAAAUGAGUUAUUCAACUUGCGUCAUGCAUCUUUGAGAAAUGUGAUCGAGAGAAUUUUUGGUAUCUUCAAAUCUCUCUUUUUGAUUUUCAAAUCAGCACCGCCUUUUCCUUUUAAGUGACAACGACGAAGAAAACAAUGAGAGCCACGAAGAAAACAAUUAUGAGGAAAAUGGAGAUACGGGACCUCUCCAAUCUCAACAAAGGGAAUAUGCUAAUAAUUGGAGAGACACAAGCUGCUAGUAUGUGGGCAGAAGCUACAGGAACAUGGAGCAUACCAUGAAGAUCAUGAAGUUUUUAUUUUCAAAUAUUUUUCUCUUCUUUGCCUGUGUUGGAUUAAGGGGUGACAAAGAUCUUGGUUUGUUUGGUUUCAUUGUUUGUGACGAAGCUUGCUAUCUUUGAGCAAACUUUUGAUUUUCUUUUUAUAAUAAGUUUUUAUUUACCAGAGAGUUGUACUAAUUUGGUUCUUCGAUUUUGCGGUUUUGAGUCUUGAUAGUCUUGUUUUUGCUUCAUCUUCUUCCUUUGAUAUCUUCUGAUUCAGACCUCGGUUUGGAGAUCUAAAAGUUGUUCUGAAAUCUUGAGAUCAAGAUAUUUCCAACCGUAUAAAGAUGAGCUUCUGAUUCCUUGUGAGUCGACUUGAGAAAAAGUUUGAAGUUGGGGCACUUCAGCUUCGUCGCUCUGUUCUUAGGUCUUGGUAGAUUGGUCAUAACUUUCAGACCGUGACAGCAAAUGACGUUCCGCUUUUUCCUAUAGCUUCGUAUAUCUCUCUACUAUUUUUCAACAAAGUUUCAUAUUUUUCUGGGUUGUUUUGAUAACCCUUUCAGUCUUUGAACCAGAACACGUCUGUUCUGUUAUCCUUCUUCUUC